AUAAAUUGAUAAUUACCUCUUUUUUUUCUCAAGUAACCAAAAAUACCUCCAUAUAAAAAUCCAUUGAAAUCUACCUCUUUUAUAAGUUCAUUACCAAAUAUACCCUUACCAGAAUAAUUGAGUCCCCAAUAGAAAGAAUCUAAAGACUCCCCAUUCUGCCAUAGCGACCCAACCCAACCCAACCCAAUGCACGCAAGCUCUACCUCCUCUCCGCCAUCACUAGCGUCCUUAUGCCUCCUCCAUUGUCAGCAUCAACGCUACAACAUCCUUCAAUAUUUGAAGGGAAAUGCCAUAAUUUCAAAACUCAAAAGUAUAGGUCUAUUGGAAGAAGGAUCGCAAGAAAGACUUUUAGUUACUAUAGACACAUGAUGGUGAGAGGCCAAGUAAUGCAAGCAUCUUUAUUGGUGACUUUGUUUUAAGAUGAAUUAUAGUUGGCACACGAAUUGUGCAUAUGCACCUCAAGUUAUAUGUGUUAACAACCAUUACCUUAUUUAGUGAAAAUAUGACGAAAUAUUAUUCUGGGGUAGUGUGAAGAGUACUCACUUUCAUCUAUUACAUAAGUAAUAUUUUUUUAUUAUUAUUGUGAUUCUAUAGUAAGCUCUUUUCUAUGACAACUGUCAACAUUGAUUUAAAGUUUUAUUGGUUUGUUUGUAUUGAUUCUUUCUAAAUUAGUUUACAUUCAAUUGGCUUUGUUCA
Cannabis sativa is the source of this 696-nucleotide long non-coding RNA. RefSeq lists it as uncharacterized. The record is from RefSeq and is a predicted model, not a curated record. Lineage: Eukaryota; Viridiplantae; Streptophyta; Magnoliopsida; Rosales; Cannabaceae. The transcript is spliced from 3 exons.